GCGCCUGUAGCUCAUUUGGAUAGAGCGUCUGACUACGGAUCAGAAGGCGGGGGGUUCGAAUCCCUCCAGGCGCACCA
Molecule: transfer RNA, 77 nt
Filed under: Candidatus Margulisiibacteriota bacterium
Lineage: Bacteria; Bacillati; Candidatus Margulisiibacteriota
Description: tRNA-Arg
Rfam family: tRNA
About the family: Transfer RNA (tRNA) molecules are approximately 80 nucleotides in length. Their secondary structure includes four short double-helical elements and three loops (D, anti-codon, and T loops).
Source: RNAcentral